RNAcentral lists this ribosomal RNA (253 nucleotides) under uncultured bacterium. Its description in RNAcentral is "partial 16S ribosomal RNA". It matches the Rfam family "Bacterial small subunit ribosomal RNA", at positions 524 to 776 of the family's 1533-position model. The record is from RNAcentral.
UACGUAGGGUGCAAGCGUUAAUCGGAAUUACUGGGCGUAAAGCGUGCGCAGGCGGUUUUGUAAGUCUGACGUGAAAUCCCCGGGCUCAACCUGGGAAUUGCGUUGGAGACUGCAAGGCUAGAAUCUGGCAGAGGGGGGUAGAAUUCCACGUGUAGCAGUGAAAUGCGUAGAGACGUGGAGGAACACCGAUGGCGAAGGCAGCCCCCUGGGUCAAGAUUGACGCUCAUGCACGAAAGCGUGGGGAGCAAACAGG